RNAcentral lists this long non-coding RNA (399 nucleotides) under Cavia porcellus (domestic guinea pig). RNAcentral's name for it is "lncRNA (ENSCPOG00000030491.1)". The record is from RNAcentral. Lineage: Eukaryota; Metazoa; Chordata; Mammalia; Rodentia; Caviidae.
AAAGGACUGAGUGGCCACAUGUUUCCAAGAACUCUCCUUGUGACCAGAAGAGAAGGGUGUAGUGUAGACAUAAGCACCCAUUCUGCUGCAAACUAAGAACAAGACCACCACCUCCUUCUGCCAAUCACUCGGUGCAGCAAGCUGCCCUUCGGCCCUGGCCUGGACUCCUGUUUAUCCUCUGCCUGGUCCCCUGGGAAGCCGGGACUUAAUGAACUGCCGAGUUGCCGAGGCAGCCUUUGAUCCCAGCAGCUGAGUGGAGGAAAUCGAUACCAUUAAUGGAGAAAAUCUGGACUGUGAUGUGGAGCUUGGGAUGGGUCUUGGGGCCAUGUGACUGCCUGCCCACCUGCUGGUACUGGUGCUGAGAGGGUAUGGUAGGGACCUGGGCCUGGGUCCUGGGGA